ACGGAAAAGGAGACAGAGAGACGUCAGACAAAGAGAAAAAGAGAAAAGGACAACCAAAAAGUCUUUUGUCUUUCUUUCACUUUUCUUCUCGUCCUCUUCUUCUUCUCCAGUUCUCGCUCUCUUUCUCGGUGGGCUUUGU
Molecule: non-coding RNA, 139 nt
Filed under: Gloeochaete wittrockiana
Lineage: Eukaryota; Glaucocystophyceae; Gloeochaetales; Gloeochaetaceae
Source: RNAcentral